Molecule: ribosomal RNA, 715 nt
Filed under: uncultured bacterium
Lineage: Bacteria
Description: bacterial SSU rRNA
Rfam family: Bacterial small subunit ribosomal RNA
Source: RNAcentral
AGUCGAGGGGUAGCAGGAUCUAGCAAUAGAUUGCUGACGACCGGCGCACGGGUGAGUAACACGUAUCCAACCUGCCGAUAACUCGGGGAUAGCCUUUCGAAAGAAAGAUUAAUACCCGAUAGUAUAAUAAAACCGCAUGGUUUUUUUAUUAAAGAAUUUCGGUUAUCGAUGGGGAUGCGUUCCAUUAGGCAGUUGGUGAGGUAACGGCUCACCAAACCUUCGAUGGAUAGGGGUUCUGAGAGGAAGGUCCCCCACAUUGGAACUGAGACACGGUCCAAACUCCUACGGGAGGCAGCAGUGAGGAAUAUUGGUCAAUGGGCGCAGGCCUGAACCAGCCAAGUAGCGUGAAGGAUGACUGCCCCUAUGGGUUGUAAACUUCUUUUAUAUGGGAAUAAAGUUUUCCACGUGUGGAAUUUUGUAUGUACCAUAUGAAUAAGGAUCGGCUAACUCCGUGCCAGCAGCCGCGGUAAUACGGAGGAUCCGAGCGUUAUCCGGAUUUAUUGGGUUUAAAGGGAGCGUAGGUGGACAGUUAAGUCAGUUGUGAAAGUUUGCGGCUCAACCGUAAAAUUGCAGUUGAUACUGGCUGUCUUGAGUACAGUAGAGGUGGGCGGAAUUCGUGGUGUAGCGGUGAAAUGCUUAGAUAUCACGAAGAACUCCGAUUGCGAAGGCAGCUCACUGGACUGCAACUGACACUGAUGCUCGAAAGUGUGGGUAU